This 497-nucleotide ribosomal RNA is filed under the name uncultured bacterium. RNAcentral describes it as "partial 16S ribosomal RNA". It matches the Rfam family "Bacterial small subunit ribosomal RNA", at positions 28 to 507 of the family's 1533-position model. The record is from RNAcentral.
GAUGAACGCUGGCGGCGUGCCUAAUACAUGCAAGUCGAGCGAACAGACGAGGAGUUUGCUCCUCUGACGUUAGCGGCGGACGGGUGAGUAACACGUGGAUAACCUCCCUAUAAUACUGGGAUAACUUCGGGAAACCGGAUCUAAUACCGUAUAAUAUAUUGAACCGCAUGGUUCAAUAGUGAAAGACGGUUUUGCUGUCACUUAUAGAUGGAUCCGCGCCGCAUUAGCUAGUUGGUAAGGUAACGGCUUACCAAGGCAACGAUGCGUAGCCGACCUGAGAGGGGGAUCGGCCACACGAGAAUGGAGACCCGCACCAGAACCCUGAGGGGGGCCACAGUCGGGAAUGUUCCGGAAGGGGGGAAAACUUGACGGAGCGCGCGAGCGUGAGGCAUGGAGGUCUUCGGAGCGAUAACCUCUGUUAUUUGGGAAAAACAAAUGUGUAAGGAACAAUGCACGUCUUGACGGUACCUAGUAAAGAAGCACCGGCUAACUACGUG